RNAcentral lists this ribosomal RNA (301 nucleotides) under uncultured bacterium. RNAcentral describes it as "partial 16S ribosomal RNA". It matches the Rfam family "Bacterial small subunit ribosomal RNA", at positions 509 to 807 of the family's 1533-position model. The record is from RNAcentral.
CAGCAGCCGCGGUAAUACGUAGGUCCCGAGCGUUGUCCGGAUUUAUUGGGCGUAAAGAGUUCGCAGGCGGUUUCUUAAGUCUGAUGUGAAAGCCCCCGGCUCAACCGGGGAGGGUCAUUGGAAACUGGGAAACUUGAGUGCAGAAGAGGAGAGUGGAAUUCCACGUGUAGCGGUGAAAUGCGUAGAGAUGUGGAGGAACACCAGUGGCGAAGGCGACUCUCUGGUCUGUAACUGACGCUGAGGAGCGAAAGCGUGGGGAGCGAACAGGAUUAGAGACCCGCGUAGUCCCUGUCUCUUAUAC